CUCGUCGUGGCGCAGAGGUUAACGAAUCCGACUAGGAACCACGAGGUUGCGGUUCUGAUCCCUGGCCUUGCUCAGUGGGUUAACGAUCCGGCGUUGCCGUGAGCUGUGGUGUAGGUCACAGACGCAGCUCGGAUCCUGCAUUGCUGUGGCUCUGGCAUAGGCCAGCAGCAAAAGCUCCGAUUAGACCCCUAGCCUGGGAACCUCCAUGUGCCACGGGAAUGGCCCUAGAAAAGGCAAAAAGACAAAAAAAAAAAAAAGUAUACAUAUAUAUAACUGGAUCACUUUACUGUACAACAGAAAUUGACAGAACACUGUAAAUCAGCUGUAAUUACAAAAUUAAAAAACAAAACAAAACAAAAAAAUGCUUUGCAAUUUGGUUCCAGGAGCAGGAUAUUUUGGGGGCACAAGCCACCUGUCUCCUUGCAUGGCCUGCAAUUAACCUUUCUCAGCUCCAAAAAAAAAAAAAGUUUUAUUCAGCUUGCAAUUACUUACACAUCACACAAAUCCAAAAAUUGCAUCUAGUGGAAGCCAACAGACCAAAAUAAAAAAUGGGUUCUAAAAUAUCAAGUAUCCAAAAUUUUCACAUCAUGCCUAAUUAUCCUAAAGUUGUUGGGGUUUUUUUUGUUUCGUCUGUUUUUUGGGUAUUUUUUUGUUUGUUUUUAAUCCAACAGGCUAUGGAUAGAUAGAUAGGUAAGAUAUAGGAUUUCUGCCAUCUUACCUAAGAAGUUGACAUAGACAAACUUUAAGGUUCUUUUCGGUCAUAAAAGUAUUAUUUCUAUUGGUAAAAAAAGCAACAAACAUUUAGUAAAGGAAUAAAAUAUUAUAC
Molecule: long non-coding RNA, 826 nt
Filed under: Sus scrofa (pig)
Lineage: Eukaryota; Metazoa; Chordata; Mammalia; Artiodactyla; Suidae
Description: lncRNA (ENSSSCG00025068992.1)
Source: RNAcentral